CGUGAGCGGCGGACGGGUGAGUAACGCGUGGGUAACCUGCCUCAUACAGGGGGAUAACAGUUGGAAACGGCUGCUAAUACCGCAUAAGCGCACAGUACCGCAUGGUACGGUGUGAAAAACUCCGGUGGUAUGAGAUGGACCCGCGUCUGAUUAGGUAGUUGGUGGGGUAACGGCCUACCAAGCCGACGAUCAGUAGCCGACCUGAGAGGGUGACCGGCCGCAUUGGGACUGAGACACGGCCCAA
This 244-nucleotide ribosomal RNA is filed under the name uncultured bacterium. Its description in RNAcentral is "partial 16S ribosomal RNA". It matches the Rfam family "Bacterial small subunit ribosomal RNA", at positions 90 to 334 of the family's 1533-position model. The record is from RNAcentral.